Molecule: non-coding RNA, 45 nt
Organism: Lingula anatina
Lineage: Eukaryota; Metazoa; Brachiopoda; Lingulata; Lingulida; Lingulidae
Source: Rfam
CAAACGGUCCUUUUCAGAACCACUAAUAUCUCAAGAAAAGCUCUA